RNAcentral lists this ribosomal RNA (638 nucleotides) under Rhodococcus sp. Se2Pt_1473. RNAcentral's name for it is "bacterial SSU rRNA". It matches the Rfam family "Bacterial small subunit ribosomal RNA", at positions 383 to 1034 of the family's 1533-position model. Lineage: Bacteria; Bacillati; Actinomycetota; Actinomycetes; Mycobacteriales; Nocardiaceae. The record is from RNAcentral.
CUGAUGCAGCGACGCCGCGUGAGGGAUGACGGCCUUCGGGUUGUAAACCUCUUUCAGCAGGGACGAAGCGCAAGUGACGGUACCUGCAGAAGAAGCACCGGCUAACUACGUGCCAGCAGCCGCGGUAAUACGUAGGGUGCAAGCGUUGUCCGGAAUUACUGGGCGUAAAGAGUUCGUAGGCGGUUUGUCGCGUCGUUUGUGAAAACCAGCAGCUCAACUGCUGGCUUGCAGGCGAUACGGGCAGACUUGAGUACUGCAGGGGAGACUGGAAUUCCUGGUGUAGCGGUGAAAUGCGCAGAUAUCAGGAGGAACACCGGUGGCGAAGGCGGGUCUCUGGGCAGUAACUGACGCUGAGGAACGAAAGCGUGGGUAGCGAACAGGAUUAGAUACCCUGGUAGUCCACGCCGUAAACGGUGGGCGCUAGGUGUGGGUUCCUUCCACGGAAUCCGUGCCGUAGCUAACGCAUUAAGCGCCCCGCCUGGGGAGUACGGCCGCAAGGCUAAAACUCAAAGGAAUUGACGGGGGCCCGCACAAGCGGCGGAGCAUGUGGAUUAAUUCGAUGCAACGCGAAGAACCUUACCUGGGUUUGACAUAUACCGGAAAGCUGCAGAGAUGUGGCCCCCCUUGUGGUCGGUAUA